GACGAACGCUGGCGGCGUGCUUAACACAUGCAAGUCGAACGGAAAGGCCCUGCUGGUGGUGGGUGCGCGGGGGACGGGCGGGUGAGUAGCGCGUAAGUUGCCUUCGCUUUAGGGUGGACUUACUGCAACUAACGGGAGUUCAUGCUGGGUAUGCUCGCCGCCUGCUGGGUGUUGGUAGGAUAGUGUGGGGGGUGGGGGAUGGACGCGCGGUUUAUAAGCUUGUUGGUGGGGUAGUGGCUUACCAAGGCUUUGGCGGGUAGCCGGCCUGAGAGGGUGACCGGCAACAUUGGGACUGAGAUACGGCCAAGACUCCUACGGGAGGAAGCAGUGGGGAAUAUUGCAAAAUGGGCGGAAGCCUGAUGCAGAAACGCCGCGUGCGGGAUGACGGCCUUCGGGUUGUAACCCGCUUUAGCAUGUGACGAAGCGUGAGUGACGGUAAUGGGUAAAGAAGCACCGGCUAACUACGUG
Molecule: ribosomal RNA, 468 nt
Filed under: uncultured bacterium
Lineage: Bacteria
Description: partial 16S ribosomal RNA
Rfam family: Bacterial small subunit ribosomal RNA
Source: RNAcentral